This is a long non-coding RNA of Puntigrus tetrazona (Sumatra barb), 5391 nucleotides long. RefSeq lists it as uncharacterized. NCBI's taxonomy places the organism in Eukaryota, Metazoa, Chordata, Actinopteri, Cypriniformes, Cyprinidae. The record is from RefSeq and is a predicted model, not a curated record. The transcript is spliced from 2 exons.
UGUUAAUCUUCCGUUUAAUGUCGAGCACAAAAGAAGAUAUUUCAAAGGAUGAAGGUGACCAAACAGUGUUUUUCUUGGCCCAGCAACUGUCUGCUAUCCCUUUAAAUCCAGGCCUGAAUACUAAAAAACCAAAACAAACUCUUGCCCAACAGUCCAAAAUCCAUUGCUAUUUUGAAACGUAAUCCACCUCAUGCUCGAAAACAAACACGUCUUUCUGAAUGAAAUCACAUGUUGUUUGCAGCUGUUGAACAGUGUGUAUUCGGGUAACACCCCGUGUUCGUUGCUGCUACCAGAUGACCUCAGUGUUGAGCGAACGCCAGCAUUUGGAGCGUGGCGGUACUUUCAGAAAGAGGUGGCUCCUGAGGAACGCUCCGCUCGGAGACGCUCAGGUGCGAGGAGUUGAUUUCACGCUGCUGGAUUCGGCUUGGGAACACUCACAUCGCACUUCAUUUUUCUGCCCGAGCUGAAGUGUCACUGAUGCUUGAAGAUUUAUAAGCUUGUUUUGUUCGUCCUCCAAAGCCUCGCGCUUUGUUUACUCGUACUCUUCGUUAUCUGUCUUGGAUUAUUCAUGCAGAGCAGCUCCAAAGCUUCCAGGAAUCCUUUCAAAAAAUUAUAUAACGGCAUGUCAGCAGCUGGCUUUUGGGAAAUCUUUGGUGAGAAGUGGUGAAGCAAGUUUCCUAGUCGAAAACAGACACAGAAAUAUCCGUGCAUACAGCAUCCGUGACAAGAGCGGCUUCAUUUCGCUAUCAGACGAACGCAUUCCACAUCGAGAGGGAGUUUCUGCAUUCCCAGACGAGAGCCGAGCAGGCCAUCACAGCUCUUCUUGAAUGGAUAGGUGGAAGAACUAAUAAAUCUCAGAACAGAGUUGCGCUCGUGUUCGUCUGAUGAAUGAUGGUCUCGCGGGGCAGAUUGUGCUCGUGAUAGUUCAUCAAUUAAACCACUCUUUAUGUGUGACUCUAACAAUGGUUCCAAACCACAACAACCGCUUAAAUACGAUCUUUGGAUUAUUUGAGGUACUUUUGUUUUAACUGUAUUGCGACACUGGGGCUCGUUUCCCAAAAGCAGCUACGUUCACAAUUUCCAUCGUUACAAUUAGACUUCGCUAGCGAUGCAAACGAGUCCCAGUUUGCUACGUUACAGGAUACUAAAACUGAAACUGGAUACUGAAGUCAAUCCCCAAAAAAAGAUGUUUUUUACACGACAGAACUUUCUUAAAACUGCGACGAUUCACACUUUUGUAACCAUAGCAACAUUUUGACGACUCUCGCGUUCAGGAAUCAGUUAUUAUUCUUAGUUUUCAGUCACGUGACCGGUUUGAAGACCCGCAGGACAAAACAUCCAUAGAACUGCAGAACAAAGUCCAUUUUUCCAUCUGUUUCACGUCCACGAAUAUUUAGAUCACCUCUCAAAACAAUAAAACAUUCAUAUUAAGUACCCGUGGCCAUAUUUCAUUUAUCAAAUGGAUUUGAGUUUCUCAUGCACUGUUUUUUAGAAAGAUCUGGCAACAGUAAGGAUAUGCAGGUAUCAAAUUUUCACGUCGCGAUUAAUUGCUAGAAUUCAAUUUUUCAUCGCCAGUCAACUAAUGAAGCCCUAAGGUAAAGUGUGACCAAACAAUGAAGGAUUAAAACAAUAUCCAGGGCAUGCUGUAUUUGGUGCCUUGAUGAACGAAUACAAAAAUCUGCAUGGCUGUUAAAAUCAUGUUUCAGAAACAUAAAGUAGCACAGGUGUUUUAUUUAUGAGGUUUCCCGGGUAACGGCUGCAUUUCUGCUGUUUCAUCAGCGCCAUCUGCCGCCAGAAAGUGAAUGUGUUUUUACAGCAGUGUUGUGCAUUGUGACCAGUGGAUGGGAAAGGUAUUCUUAAACAACAGUACUCUCAAUCAUUUGUAAUAAAUGAAAACACAAAAGAAACAAGUUGCAACACAAUUAUAUCUCCACCACACGAUGAAAACAAGUCGUAAUAGAGCAAUGAAAGCAAGUCACAACACAACAAAAAUAGAAAUUAGCAACACAAGAGAAACAAGUCUCAGCACAGUCAACUCCCUUGUGCAAUGCAUUUAGAAUUUGCAUCCAUUCACUUAUCAAUUCACUCUCUGAUAACUGUUUAUCCAGUAUUGCCUCUUGCCGUUAUAUUACAUGUACUACCUCAGUUAACUAGGUGAAGGUGAAACUAGUGUCGACACUCACCCGCGAGAAAAAAACACUAAAAUGUGCAAUGAUACGUUUAUAUGUGGCUUAAAUGCAAUGCUUUUUCUAUGUGGUAGCUAGGGCAUUGCUUAGGGUGUUGUUGGUGGUUUCCACAUUGUUACUAAACAGUGCAGUUAUAAUGAAUGUGAAUGUGCUUAGAAUAUUUCAUGAAUUAAAUGAACAAUUGUCUGACUUUAUGAGAUCUAGGGGAAAAACAUGUUUUAUGGACCAUACUGUUUAAAUUUGAUUUGCACACCAUGAAUUAUGAAUGUGAUGGUUCCCAGGAAAAUAUAUAUAUUUUUUAGAUGAGGUACCUGGCUGCUUGUGUUUGGGUUUUGUGUCCAGGGAGGCGUUUAUUUUGGUUGGAGCUCUGCUGCUGUGGACACAUUCCUCUCUGAGGUCUGGACUGCAGUGACGGUCUAAAUGUGUUUCAGUGAACACAAUCACAGACUGCUAAGGUCCAUCGCUGGACACGCGUGUUGACCCUGGCCUCGCUCAGUUCCAGCAAUCCUGGGUCUUGUUGUUUUUGUAUUGUUGUUAGGGUGUUCUAUUGUUGCUAAGGCUUUGCUAGGGUGUUCUAAGUGGAUGCAUGGUUGCUGUGGUGUUGCAAGGCAUUGGUAUGAUGUAGCUGGUGGUUUCUAUAUGGUUGCUAAGGUGUUGCUAUGCAUCCUGUGGUUUCUAUAUGGUUGCUAAGGUGUUGCUAUCUAUCCUGUGGUUUCUAUACUGUUGCUAAGGCAUUGUUAUGAUGUAGCUGGUGGUUUUUAUAUGGUUGGUAAGGUGUUGCCGUGUAUCUUGUGGAUUCUAUAUGGUUGCUAAGGUGUUGCUAUGUAUCCUGGGGUUUCUAUCCUGUUGUUAAGGUGUUGCUAAGGCAUUGUUAUGAUGUAGCUGGUGGUUUCUAUAUGGUUGGUAAGGUGUUGCCGUGUAUCCUGUGGUUUCUGUAUGGUUGCUAAGGUGUUGCUAAGACAUUGUUAUGAUGAUGCUAGCAGUUUCUAUAUGGUUGCUAAGGCAUUGGAAUAUAUAGCAGAUGGUUUCCAUAUAGUUGCUGCAGUGCUGCUAUGAUGUUGCUGUUGGUGGUUUCUAUAUGGUUGCUAAGGUAUUGCUAAGCGCAUCACAGUACAGAGACAGUGUCAUAAAUAUAAUAAAUGAUAUUCGUUUUAAAUUCUGAUUCUGGCAAAAUAUCAGUGCUGGUACUGCUAGAUCUUAGUUCUGCGUUUGACACUGUCGAUCAUAACAUAACAAAACUGGGACAGGCUUUCUGGAAAGGUACUCAAAUGGUUCAGGUCUUACUUAGAAGCGAGAGGUUAUUAUGUAAGUAUAGAAGAGACUAAGUGGACAUCCAUGACGUGGAGUCCCACAAGGCCCAGUUCUUGCACCGCUCUUGUUUAGCUUAGCUCCCACUAAGUCAAAUAAUGAUAAAAAGCAAUCAAACUGUUGAUGACCCAGAUGUACCUUGUCUUAUCUCCAAAAGACUACAGCAUUGAUGAAUUUAACAGUUGAAUGUGCCAGAGCUGUCUUCGGUUAAACAAGAAAGAAACUGAAGUCAUUGCAUUUGGAAAUACAGCAAUGCCUUAGCAACCGUACGGAAACCACCAGCUACAUAAUAGCAAUGCCUUAGCAACGCCUUAGCAACGCCUUAGCAACACCUUAGCGACCAUACAAAUCUUUUUGUUGCUUUUUAGAAAGACACGGUGUCAAUCAGCUUAAUAAUUGAGGACAAAAUCAACAGAAUGUCUAAACAACCUCAUUUUUUUAUUGCUAAAAUACAUACACAGUCAAAUUAAAAAAACAGUUUUUUAUUAUUCUGCUUUAUAUGGUAAUAAAUAAGACAUAUUAUACAAACAUGGAUGUGACUGAACAAUGACGGCUCAAACUGAGGUGUAUUAGUGAAAUAAUGCUGUCCUCCAGUGUUUCACAUCGCAUCUGCUCCUUUGGAGGAAAUCUGACGUAUCUUCAAUCUCCAAGGCUUCAAGGGAACAUCUUUCAGCUCACUGAUCUCCUAGAAAGAGGGUAUGCACAUGUAUUUUAUCUCUAACUGCAGUCACAGUUCUCACAUGCUAAAAAAAACACUGUCAGCUGCUUCUCGCUUCAAUUAUGUGAGGAUUUGAAAUGCUUAAAGCUCUGUUUUCCACUGUGAAACAUGUCUGACUUGUGUGAUGUGGUUGCCAUAACAAUGUCUCGCUCCUCGUUACGGUCAGUAGCCCAUCCUGGCUCUCUUUCACCAUAAACUCACCAUCCUCCGUCAUGCAUUUCUCAUUUCAUUUCCAGCCAGGCGUUCACUUGAACACUUUACAGAGAAACCCAUUCGAGUCUUCUCAUUCCAUCUCACCAAAGGCUUCCCAGGCCAAGCCAGACGAACGCCUCAACACACUGAACUCAAAACUCCGCUGCUGUUCUCAUAACGCAAGGGAUAAAAAAUAGGACGGUGUCUUGUUUUUCUCCUCCGCUGGUUUUACAAAGCUUUCAAUCAUUGCCCAGUGUCAUGAAGCCACAGAAACUCGUGCUCAUGAAGGACUGACUAACCGGCAGCUCCAGAGCCUGAAGCGGCAUGAACUCGUUCCCACAGCAACAGAUCUUCUCAUGGCCGGUGUCCCGUGGCCUGCGUCGCCGGGCGGUCCUCCUAACCUCCAGACCCCUUAACGCAUGAUCUCCAGACAGAACCUGAGACACGGUGAAGAAAACUGUCAAGUGCUGCAGUUUUAGCAUGUGUGAGGAAGGGUUGACGAGAUUUGUCCGAGAUGCAACUAUCUGAAAAUCUGAGCGUGCAUAAAAAAAAAUCUAAAUAUUUACAUCAAAAGUUGUCCAAAUUAUUCUCUUAGCAAUGCAUAUUACUAAUCAAAAAUGGAAUGCUUUUUAUGGUAAGAAAUAUACAAAUAUCUAUAUGAUUUUUGGCAUUUAAAAAAGUAUAAUUUUGACCCAUACAAUGUAUUGUGGUCUACUUCUUCAAAUAUAGCUGUGCUCUUCUGACUGCUUCUGCGCUCCAGAGACACACAGAUAAACGGAAGCGACUGACCUUACUGUAUUUAGGCAGCGGGAAUCUCUCCAAACAGCUGCUGCGCUCUACAGCUAAUUCUGUUCAUUCAAUCAGAAACAGACGUUACACGCUAACACAUAAAUGAAGCUUAUCUCAUCUGCAAGACAACGUUUGAGGCGUUUAACCUCUGUACUGUGACAUCUGUGUUAUUUUUGAAAUAUUACAGUUUUAUGCAUA